Molecule: long non-coding RNA, 1492 nt
Organism: Capsicum annuum
Lineage: Eukaryota; Viridiplantae; Streptophyta; Magnoliopsida; Solanales; Solanaceae
Exons: 2
Source: RefSeq, a predicted model, not a curated record
GUUGGCAACACGUAUGAUAAAUGCUCUUUCACAAAAUGGAGCAUGUACUUUUAAGCUCCACAAAAGUUGGCAACAAACUUGCCAAAAAUCCUGGCACUCAAUUUAUGUGGUUUACCUAACGUAGUUUGCUGAAUAUAUGUUUCUCUCUAUAUAAUAGAAUUAAUAGGAUUCUUGCUUAUUUCUUACUAAACUAUUUUUUAGGUCCUAUCAAAUACGCUUCUUCUCUCUAUAUCGAAUAUUGAACAAUAAAGAGCACAACAUGGCUGGUCAUAUACACACUGUACAAUUUAUUUUUGAAAUUGUAGGUGGGUUAAUUAAUUCAUUAAUUUCUGAUGUUGUUUUUCUAAUUUGCAUUUGCUUCUCUUCUUCUUUUUUUUCCGCUAAUUAACAGGAAAUGUCGCUACACUUUUUCUCUUCUUUGUACCAAUGCUUACAUUCAAGAGGAUCAUCAAAAACAAAUCGACAGAUCAGUUCUUUAAGAUACCUUAUGUUACAGCAUUUCUCAACUGCAUGCUUUCUGGAUGGUAACUAUUUAUACCCUCUACUUAAAUUUUUUUAUUCAAUAUUGACUUGACAUAUCUCGGUAAUAAAUAGAAUGACAAUUUCAUUAUAUCUAUUUUUUUAAUAUAAUAAAUUUAAUAUUUUAAAAAGUACAUUGAAAUUAAUACUUAAUAAUAAAAAUAAAUGAGAAACUACGUGAUAAUGAUGAUACUACUACAUUAUUGGUAAAACAUCUAUUUAAGGAUUGAAUACAAAUACACUUUAAAAAAAUUUAAUGAUUUGCCUGAUGUUCUAGAACGGUUUUGUUCCAAUGCACAUUUGAAAUUUUUGUCAUAAUUAAUUUUUUACAUUUUCGUUCAUUUAUGAACUAGUUUUAUGAUACGAGUACGAUCAUGACCUGGGGCACUUUUUGAGUAUUUUGAAGAUCACCUAAAAGGGGGCACAAGCCCAAGUGUGAAGAAGGCCUAAACCUGCCCCUAAAGUGCACUUAAUGGGCGGUUUGGAGCCCAUUAAUGAAAGGACCCUUUAGUCUUUUGUCUCUUAUUUUGUAAUGUAAUAUAAAUGAAACAUUAUAGGGAUUCUAGUUCUUUAGUUGCUUAAUGAUAUUGAAAGAACACUCCUCUUAAAGAGAGAGAGUCCCAAAACCGUAACUAGGGUCAUAUACAAGUGUGGAAUCACUUGUGUGUUGCAUUGCUUGAUAAAUUGGUGCUUGGGUGGUGAACGCCUCUCUUUUGUCAAUUGUAAGGGAUAGGUGAUUGUAGUGUGUAGUGUUAAGGGUCCAAGAGUGUCAUAUAUUCUUGGGUUCUUAAGAUUAUACCUCUAUUUGUCUAUCUUUCUAUCUUUAUUUUGUUGUAACCGUUGGUAGUUUUCUUGUUGUGUAACCUUAUAAUCGUUCUAUUAUUGUAAUCUUAUUGUGUUGCUCAUCUUAUUCUUGUUGUUACAUUAGUUUGGGUUGGCUGUUUUGGUGUCAAAUACACCAUUAUAUCUUGUA